GAUGAAGAACGUAGCGAAAUGCGAUACUUGGUGUGAAUUGCAGAAUUCAGUGAAUCAUCGAAUCUUUGAACGCAUAUUGCGCUCUUUGGUAUUCCGAAGAGCAUGCUUGUUUGAGUAUCAGUAAACACCUCAACCUCUUCUUGAUUUUUCAAAAGGAGGGUGGACUUGAGCUAUCCCAACAACCUUUACCGGUCGGCGGGCGGCUUGAAAUGCAGGUGCAGCUGGACUUUUAUCUGAGCUAAAAGCAUAUCUAUUUAGUCCUCGUCAAACAGGAUUAUUACUUUUGCUGCAGCUAACAUAAAGGAUAAUUGUCCUCUUUGCUGACUGAUGCGGGAUUUUACGACACUUUAUGUGUUGUUCAACUCGAUCUCAAAUCAAGUAAGACUACCCGCUGAACUUAAGCAUAUCAAUAAGCGGAGGA
Molecule: unclassified non-coding RNA, 421 nt
Filed under: soil metagenome
Description: partial contains 5.8S ribosomal RNA, internal transcribed spacer 2, and large subunit ribosomal RNA
Rfam family: 5.8S ribosomal RNA (bases 1-120)
Source: RNAcentral